This is a long non-coding RNA of Varroa destructor (honeybee mite), 842 nucleotides long. RefSeq lists it as uncharacterized. Lineage: Eukaryota; Metazoa; Arthropoda; Arachnida; Mesostigmata; Varroidae. The record is from RefSeq and is a predicted model, not a curated record.
UCUUGUCGAGUUCGCAAAAUAAACUUAAGAAUGGUACCAGGUGGCAACGAGCGGCAUGAUAUAUCACUAUUUUCCCGGCAUCUCGAAUUCUUUGAUUUGUCCUUUUUCACUCGUCGUUCCUUGUCGCACCCGCGACGAAAAGAAAUCUCCAUGGAUCUUUGCGAAUUUUUAAUCUCUUACCCUAAAGGUUUUCAAGGUUUCCGUUGCCAAGUGUUGAAAGCGACGAUGUAGAUCCUCGGACAGCAAUGGCGAGCUGGUUUAGGAAAUAUGCAAGGCGCUCGUUCUGUGUCUUUUAAGGGAAAAGGUUUUAACGGGAUUCACUUGUUCUAGGUGCCCCCGUGCGAGAUCUUCGAAAGAGGUCGAACAAGCUGAGAAGGGUUGCGAGGGGCAAGCAAUGAGUCGAUCUGAUCGCUCACGUAGCCGAUACUGGCUUCCUGCACCUUUCGGUGACGUGAGCAGUGAGAGCUCCUACCGCUCGCGGAGCAGAGCAACCGCAAGUACGGAAGCCAAUCCACAUUAAGAAGAGGCGACCUGAACAUAUUUACAGGGACAUCGAUCUCAAUCAACGUGAGCAUAAUCUUACCUUUUGGCACCGAAGGAAAGACUGCCUUAAAAUCCAACGCAACUAGUGUUCACUCGACGUCGGCUACAGUGUCCUACACACCGUUUCUGUGGGACGUAUUUUUAGGAGAACUGGCAACGUCUACGAUUUACCGCCACUUUUCGACCCUGGUAACUUUCGACUCACGAACAUCGAAGAGCAGAGCUGACAUUAACAUAACUAUUGCUGAUCCUGAGGUAGAAAUGAGCGCACUGUUUUCCUAACAAUUUCUUGUCUUCUU